Long non-coding RNA from Clupea harengus (Atlantic herring), 3927 nucleotides. The record is from Ensembl. Lineage: Eukaryota; Metazoa; Chordata; Actinopteri; Clupeiformes; Clupeidae.
CAGCACUUUUUGGGGGCCUUUUGGAGGAACAAUUAUCUGUAAGCGUGGGCCAAGUCUUUUGCCUUUUAGUUUCUUUAAUGAUACACAUCUCCCCUCCUCCACAUUUCUGUUCUGUUCCAUCUUUGAUGUGUUGCAGAUCUUACACUGUGGGCUCUUACAAUACAAAAAGAUUCCUAUUAUAUCUGCGGAGCAUCUGGCUAGUCACAAAUACAUGACUCAGAUGUAGAUGUUUCACCAUCCUGAGCAACCGUGUCGGAGUGAACUGGUGUGCCACCAUCUAGAGAUCACCACCAUGAAUGCAUAGAUACAGAAUGAAAAACAAGAAGAAGAAGAAGAAAAAGAAGAGGAAGAGAGGGAGGAAGAAAACAAAGAAGAAAAAGAAAAAGAAAAGAAAGUGAACAUUGUUGUGAAAGCCUCAACGAGUUAAUCGGACUCAGACUUCACCCGUCCCUUUUCCCCCAGCAGUCUCUUGGGUUCGUCUUCGCUCCUGAGUGUCAACAAAACAUCACUGACUGCCUGUGUUUUUUUUUCAGCUCUUGGUGGCUUCUCUGCAUCCACCUCUCAUAACGAAUGCAAACAACAAAGACAUGUCUGUCUCGCCUUUUUCGAUUUUAGUUCGUUUAUAACUUCUUUUUCAGUACAUCAGUAGACAUCGGUAGAAUGAAAGAAAUGAUUUCUUAUUUUGUGCAUAACUGUGUGUGUGUGUGUGUGUGUGUGUGUGUGUGUGUGUGUGAAUGCAUUUCGCUCUUCUUUUUUUGAGGUUUACACAACAAAAGGUGCACCUUGUUAUAAAACAGAGAGAAAGAACGUAGAAGAACAAAACACAUUGUCAAAGAAAAUUGUGCAUGCACACAGUAUACUUUCGCUAGGUGGCUCUACUCCUUAAAGACCUCGAUUGUACAAGGACAGGGGGGUUCGUGGGAGGGAUGGGGUGGGUAUUGGGGUGGGGUAUUAGGGAGGGGUACUUUGGGUUCAGAAUCGUCACUUCAUGACAGCUGAAUGUUCUUCUGGGUCAAACACGCAGCAGUGAACCUUUUAAAGCACAUUGAGGCUUUCGUAGUUUUCAUGUUGCUGAUUGCACAUCAAGUGCCAUAGACAAUACUUUCAUCCAAAUAGAGAGACGAAGCGAGAGAGAGAGACCAGAGAGAGGGAUGUCCACCAGUGUUAAUGUGUUCACCUGCAUAAUGCCUUUAAGUCUCAAAUGUAAAGCCAGACUGUAGAAGAUGCUGGAAUGGUACGUGGCCUAGAGCUGGGUGGGAUCUGCUCCUCACGCAGGCUGCUGUUUGGGAGGUCUCUUUCUUGCCUUCCUGCCCCAGGAGAUACAGAUGCACAAUACGUUUGAAUUUUAUUCAUUUGCAUCCUUUUGCCAUUACGAGUCUAUGGAUUGUGUUCUUACAGAAGGUCACAGGUCACGGAAAGACUUGUUGCCAUUGGUUUUGUUUUUGUGAAUGGAAAUACUCUUUUCUUCAUUUUUUUUCAGAGUUUUUUUUGGUUUCUUUUCACAAUCGAUGUGUUGUUUCCCUGAGAUAGUGAUCGUGAGGGUUGGGCGUUUCCAGACUUUUGUUUCGUUUUUGUUUUGUAUUCCCACAGUUUUCCCCCUUGUUUUGUUGUUUUUUUUCUGUUCAGAAGCAUGAAAGUCUGCAGACUCUAAAAGGCUUUAUCCAGAAAUGGCUUUUGCCCUAAAACGUUGAAUGCGCUAUGCUCUCCUCAGUCUCACAGGAGCCAGCAGAGACUAAAAAACUGAGGAGGACAGAGAGAUAGCAGACAAACUGCUACAGAAUCUAUAUAUAUAUGCAUGCUUAACCAAAUCAGUAUGAUGAGGACGUGACAGGGCAGACACUGUGUUUUGGGUGUUUUUUUUUUAUGUGAUUUCUUCUCUCUCUUGUUUAUUUCUCGCAUUUUUUUAAAGGUUUUAUUGGUACUAUUUGUUUUUUUUAAUUAUUUGAUUGUUCUUCGUGUUCUUUAAUUACGAUAAGAGCUUGUGAGUCUGGUAUGUAUUUUUCUAGUUUCUGGUUCAGAGGAUGUGAAAUUAGUUGUGUGACAGUGAGUAUUUUAAAACACAGAUUCAGCCAAAGUUCUUUUUUUUCUCCAUGUUUUUUUUUUUCAAAGGUUUGUUUGGUUUGGAGAUUUAAUUGAGCAGGUGGCUUCGUUAAGUGCUGUUACACACUUGUGUUGGUGUCGGAAUCAGAACCAGUUGUUGCGAGAUAGAGAGUUGCAUAUGUCCAUUGGGAAAACUACGAGUAGCGUAAAAGGACUGAUUCUCUCGGCCCGGCACCUGUGGGAGUCUUUCAGCUUAAUUUAUUUCUCUGAAUUCAAAAUGUCAUCAGUCGACAGACCUUGUCUGAAGUAGUAGAAACAAGGCUCUGAGGGGUAACGGCAAGAGUACAAACACAACGGGGGCAAGAGGGCGACUUAAAAUGAUUGUAUGUUUCCGAAACCAAGGCCUUAGAGCACACAUGAUGAGUUUUUAAGUGCCACAUUGUACGCCAUUUUCAAAAUCACAAGGUCAUCUCUGACACAGCAAAGCCAAUGUCACUCACAGGAUUGUUUCACCUUCAUUUGACCAUGAUUUUUGCCAUCUCAUCAUUUUGAUUCCAUGGUAUUUGUUGGUUUAUUUGUUACUUACUUAAAGUAGGUGUGUUUCAUUUCAUAGUAUUAACAGCUUGGAUACUGUUAUAAUAUUAGUUUUUUUGUUGGAUUAGAUUUUAUAGAACUUUUGCAGGAUGAGCUACUAGAGAUAGUGUGUGCUUUUGUGUUCAUCACGACAUACUCCGUUUUUUGAAUUUUCCGUGCAGUCUUGAUUUAAGUAUUAGUAGUAUAAUUGUAAACUAAAUGAUUUUUAUUUUGUAGUGAAAUGUAAGAAUUUUGUUUAUUUUGUCCGUAAAUGUUUGAAUUAUUCGAACAAAGAUCUUUUAUAUGGAUAUCUUACAUGAGGAAAUACUUGCUAUGGAAGAAAUGGAGUCAUUGCGGUGGCAACGGCAACUGCUAAUAACAGUAUAAUAUUUGAAUGAGUGUCUGGUUUGUAUCUAGUCAUUCUAAUUAGAGAACAAGUCGAAGAUACAGAAGAAGAAAAACUAUAUAUCUACGAUAUAAAAAUAGAGUUCUUUGAUGUUAGAAUUAUUUUCUACUGUAUUGAUUUCAAAUAGUAACUAUUGUUUAAAUAUUUCCAAUCUCCCUUGGAGGCCUGGCCUUGUUUAAAGAAGAAAAAAAAAAAAGCUGCAUAUGAUCAUUCUGUCGGAGGAUUUAGGUCCGGAGGUUAAAAGACAUGGCACUGAUGCAUGGGAGGGGGGGUGGGGGGGCUUGACCAUAGAGCUCCCUAGCCCCCCCCAUGCAGUUGGUCACUUACAAGCACGUGCUGGAAUGUAGGGGAUGAAGGUUGACUUUUUUGCACUUCUGUACAUAGUCAAAAAAGAGAGAAUCGUGUAUAAUAUUGAGAUCUUAUUUUGAAUAAUAAAAAAAAUGUCUAUAAAUAUGAGGAAUUUUCUUAAGGAUAAUUUGAAAAAAAAAAAGAAGCAAAAGACAGGCUGAACAAAACUUGCUUGCAAAAAGUGGCACUCAUAGAGUAUAAACUCGGAUACCCCUGACCACCAAACCCUCUUCUCUGGAGAUGGCGAGGAAAUGUUGCUUUGCUUUUUUUGUCAGCGGCUUGUAGUUUGCCAUGGGAAAAAAAACCUGAAACGUUGUGGAGAAGUAACCAUUGGCCUCCGCGGAAUCUGCCUUCUGAUGGAGUGUGUUUUGCCAGCACCCACAGGGAUGUGGCAGGACCAUACCAUAGGUCAAAGGUGAAAGGUCAAAACCCACUGAGAAAAUCCAGUCCUGUUCCAUAACUUCAGCCCCAAGGGUUUUGCAUGUUAAAGGGAAGAACAAGAUAUCUUGAGAUUUUAAAAAGAUGAGAAAAGAAAAGAUAAAAACUUUCGAAAAACAGAG